This 73-nucleotide transfer RNA is filed under the name Patescibacteria group bacterium. RNAcentral describes it as "tRNA-Lys". It matches the Rfam family "tRNA". From Rfam's summary of the family: Transfer RNA (tRNA) molecules are approximately 80 nucleotides in length. Their secondary structure includes four short double-helical elements and three loops (D, anti-codon, and T loops). The record is from RNAcentral.
GCACCCAUAACUCAGCUGGUAGAGUAGCUCCCUCUUAAGGAGAAUGUCGUUGGUUCGACUCCAACUGGGUGCA